GACGAACGCUGGCGGCGUGCUUAACACAUGCAAGUCGAACGCUGAAGCUCAGCUUUUGUUGGGUGGAUGAGUGGCGAACGGGUGAGUAACACGUGAGUAACCUGCCCCCUUCUUUGGGAUAACGCCCGGAAACGGGUGCUAAUACUGGAUAUUCACUGGUCUUCGCAUGGGGGUUGGUGGAAAGGGUUUUUCUGGUGGGGGGUGGGCUCGCGGCCUAUCAGCUUGUUGGUGGGGUGAUGGCCUACCAAGGCUUUGACGGGUAGCCGGCCUGAGAGGGUGACCGGUCACAUUGGGACUGAGAUACGGCCCAGACUCCUACGGGAGGCGGCAGUGGGGAAUAUUGCACAAUGGGCGCAAGCCUGAUGCAGCGACGCCGCGUGAGGGAUGGAGGCCUUCGGGUUGUGAACCUCUUUCGCUCAUGGUCAAGCCGCAACAAUGGUUGUGGUGAGGGUAGUGGGUAAAGAAGCGCCGGCUAACUACGUG
Molecule: ribosomal RNA, 483 nt
Filed under: uncultured bacterium
Lineage: Bacteria
Description: partial 16S ribosomal RNA
Rfam family: Bacterial small subunit ribosomal RNA
Source: RNAcentral